CAUGCAAGUCGAGCGAGAAAUUUUGAAAAGAUACUUCGGUUGAUUUUCAGGAUGGACAGCGGCGAAAGGGAGAGUAACGAGUAGAUACGUACCCAAGGGUCUGGGAUAGCCAUGCGAAAGCGUGAGUAAUACCGGAUAAUGUCUCCGGACCAAAGAUUUAUUGCCCUUGGAGCGGUUUGCUUACUAUUAGUUUGUUGGUGGGGUAAUGGCCUACCAAGGCAAAGAUGGUUAGCGGGUGUGAGAGCAUGGCCCGUCUCACUGGGACUGAGAUACUGCCCAGACACCUACGGGUGGCUGCAGUCGAGAAUCUUCCGCAAUGGGCGAAAGCCUGACGGAGCGACGCCGCGUGUUGGACGAAGGCCCUCGGGUUGUAAACAACUGUCGUAGGGGAGGAAAUUUUGACCGAUCCUAGGGGGAAGCACAGGCUAAGUUCGUGCCAGCAACCGCGGUAAUACGAACUGUGCAAACGUUAUUCGGAGUCACUGGGCNUUAAGGGUGCGUAGGCGGAUAGGUAGGUCAGAUGUGAAAUCCCACGGCUCACCGUGGAAAUUGCGUUUGAAACCAUUUGUCUUGAGGGGAUCAAAGGAAACCGAAACUGAUGGUGGAACCG
This 610-nucleotide ribosomal RNA is filed under the name uncultured bacterium. RNAcentral's name for it is "bacterial SSU rRNA". It matches the Rfam family "Bacterial small subunit ribosomal RNA", at positions 54 to 681 of the family's 1533-position model. The record is from RNAcentral.